UGGGGAAUUUUGGACAAUGGGCGCAAGCCUGAUCCAGCCAUGCCGCGUGAACGAUGAAGGCCUUAGGGUUGUAAAGUUCUUUUGUCAGGGAAGAUAAUGACGGUACCUGAAGAAUAAGCACCGGCUAACUUCGUGCCAGCAGCCGCGGUAAUACGAAGGGUGCUAGCGUUGUUCGGAAUCACUGGGCGUAAAGCGCGCGUAGGCGGCGAUAUAAGUCAGAGGUGAAAGCCUGGAGCUCAACUCCAGAACUGCCUUUGAAACUAGGUCGCUAGAAUCACGGAGAGGUGAGUGGAAUUCCGAGUGUAGAGGUGAAAUUCGUAGAUAUUCGGAAGAACACCAGUGGCGAAGGCGGCUCACUGGACGUGUAUUGACGCUGAGGUACGAAAGCGUGGGGAGCAAACAGGAUUAGAUACCCGCGUAGUCCCUGAGCGGGCUGGCAAGGCGCAU
Molecule: ribosomal RNA, 447 nt
Filed under: uncultured bacterium
Lineage: Bacteria
Description: bacterial SSU rRNA
Rfam family: Bacterial small subunit ribosomal RNA
Source: RNAcentral